UGUUGACCGGUUAUUUCACACA
This 22-nucleotide non-coding RNA is filed under the name Arabidopsis thaliana (thale cress). The record is from RNAcentral. Lineage: Eukaryota; Viridiplantae; Streptophyta; Magnoliopsida; Brassicales; Brassicaceae.